UGAAACGGAUAUCCUGAUGUAGCGACAUGAUUAAAGGUUAAGCURGAGCCAUAAAGGACGGAGGGAUGUGCCUUUUUAAUGAGGCUGUCUUUGUUGAGACCUAAUUCGGGUAAAAGAAAAUUCUCAACUGAAAUAGAGGCGUAUGAUACACCCCAGGCUCCCCAAGUGUCUCUGUGGGGGUCACUUCAGUGGAUCUUAAAGGCCAGGGACGGUAUCUUAUGACCUCCCUGAAGCCAGGCCACGUUCUCUCAAGCUGCACGCACUUUCCUUGAAUAGUAAGCCAAGUUAACCGUAAGAGCUUCACCUCUCGGCCUGAAAUUCAGCGGCAGAAAUGAAAAACCAAACCAUUGCCCCUUGUAGGAGGUAUUUCUUUUCUUUUGCGUUACCUCACAAUCGAUAGGAUAGAAAUGCACCACAAGAUGCAAAAGCAAAAUAGGUCAAACAUGGACUAAAACAAAAAAAUUCUGAAUGGUGAAAAAAGGGCCGUUUUCAUGUGCAGUCUCAUCUCAAGCUUACACAAACAAACAUGCAGUAAGUAAUAAACCGGUUUUCAUUGUUUUUUUUUGUAUUAAGAAUGUUUUCAUGAGGCUCUU
This is a non-coding RNA of Poecilia reticulata (guppy), 593 nucleotides long. The record is from RefSeq and is a predicted model, not a curated record. Lineage: Eukaryota; Metazoa; Chordata; Actinopteri; Cyprinodontiformes; Poeciliidae.